RNAcentral lists this non-coding RNA (24 nucleotides) under Arabidopsis thaliana (thale cress). The record is from RNAcentral. Lineage: Eukaryota; Viridiplantae; Streptophyta; Magnoliopsida; Brassicales; Brassicaceae.
UUUAGUUCAGGGUUAGGUGUUAUC